RNAcentral lists this microRNA precursor (116 nucleotides) under Vitis vinifera (wine grape). RNAcentral describes it as "mir-399 microRNA precursor family". It matches the Rfam family "mir-399 microRNA precursor family". From Rfam's summary of the family: mir-399 was identified in both Arabidopsis thaliana and Oryza sativa computationally and was later experimentally verified. mir-399 is thought to target mRNAs coding for a phosphatase transporter. The record is from Rfam by way of RNAcentral. Lineage: Eukaryota; Viridiplantae; Streptophyta; Magnoliopsida; Vitales; Vitaceae.
GGAUGCAUUACUGGGCAAUUACUCCAUUGGCAGUUGGCCACUCGGCUGACCGUGAUUAACUUCACAAGUUCCAGAGUAAGCUCACUGCCAAAGGAGAUUUGCCCCGCAACUCAUCU